UACGGAGGGGGCUAGCGUUGUUCGGAAUUACUGGGCGUAAAGCGCGCGUAGGCGGCUUUGUAAGUUAGAGGUGAAAGCCCGGGGCUCAACUCCGGAACUGCCUUUAAGACUGCAUCGCUUGAAUCCGGGAGAGGUGAGUGGAAUUCCGAGUGUAGAGGUGAAAUUCGUAGAUAUUCGGAAGAACACCAGUGGCGAAGGCGGCUCACUGGCCCGGUACUGACGCUGAGGUGCGAAAGCGUGGGGAGCAAACAGG
RNAcentral lists this ribosomal RNA (253 nucleotides) under uncultured bacterium. RNAcentral describes it as "partial 16S ribosomal RNA". It matches the Rfam family "Bacterial small subunit ribosomal RNA", at positions 524 to 776 of the family's 1533-position model. The record is from RNAcentral.